GAUGAACGCUGGCGGCGUGCCUAAUACAUGCAAGUCGAGCGAACAGACGAGAGUGCUUGCACUCUCUGACGUUAGCGGCGGACGGGUGAGUAACACGUGGGUAACCUACCUAUAAGACUGGGAUAACUUCGGGAAACCGGAGCUAAUACCGGAUAAUAUUUAGCUUCGCAUGAAGCAAUAGUGAAAGACGGUUCUGCUGUCACUUAUAGAUGGACCCGCGGUGUAUUAGCUAGUUGGUGAGGUAACGGCUCACCAAGGCAACGAUACAUAGCCGACCUGAGAGGGUGAUCGGCCACACUGGGACUGAGACACGGCCCAGACUCCUACGGGAGGCAGCAGUAGGGAAUCUUCCGCAAUGGACGAAAGUCUGACGGAGCAAUGCCGCGUGAGUGAAGAAGGCUUUCGGAUCGUAAAACUCUGUUGUAAGGGAAGAACGAGUACGUUAGUAACUGAACGUACCUUGACGGUACCUUACCAGAAAGCCACGGCUAACUACGUG
Molecule: ribosomal RNA, 499 nt
Filed under: uncultured bacterium
Lineage: Bacteria
Description: partial 16S ribosomal RNA
Rfam family: Bacterial small subunit ribosomal RNA
Source: RNAcentral